RNAcentral lists this long non-coding RNA (787 nucleotides) under Mytilus galloprovincialis (Mediterranean mussel). Lineage: Eukaryota; Metazoa; Mollusca; Bivalvia; Mytilida; Mytilidae. The record is from RNAcentral.
UGGGGCCCUUUAUAGCUUGUUGUUCGGUGUGAGCCAAGGCUCCGUGUUGAAGGCCGUACAUUGACCUAUAAUCAUGGUUUACUUUUUUUUUAAAUUGUUAUUUGGAUGGAGAGUUGUCUCAUUGGCACUCACACCACAUCUUCCUAUAUCUAUAUAUCUUUUCUAUAUUCAUAAAUUUAGAUUGUUCAGUUGGAGGACUGGAAAGCAGUUAUUUAUAAGGGAAAAUUUUAAAGAUUUAUAGAUAUAAGAAGAUGGUGCAUGAGUUCGAAUGAGACAACUUUCCAUCAAAGUAAUAAUUUGUUUAAAGUAAAACCAUUAUAGAUCAAAGUAAGUCCUUAAACACGGAGCCUUGGCUCACAGCAAACACCACGCUAUAUAGGAACAAGAACAUUGCUAGUGUUAAACCAUUCAAACAGGAAAACCAACGGUCUAAUUUAAAAAAAAAAUUUGUAAGGGUUCCGCGGAACCCAGUGUCUCGCCUACUUUUGCUGUUAAUCGCAGACUCAACAAAAUGAGGAAAAACAUCAAUAAAAAUUUCCCUCUCGAUACUGUCUUUUGAUUGAAAGAAGCUUCCAAGUUUGGUAAAAAAUCCAGGAUAGUUUAUGAAUCUAAUAAAUGUUGUAUAAACUUUAACUGCAGACUGUAAGUAAUGUUAACUGGAAGAAAAACUAAGUCCAUUGAUAAGCAAAAUACGGAAAAAGUGAUUUUUUUUUUUUACAAAAUUUACUUCUGAAUAAUAUCUUAUGAUCAGAAACAAGCUUCUGUCUAAGUUUGGUAGAAAUCCAGG